RNAcentral lists this ribosomal RNA (274 nucleotides) under uncultured bacterium. RNAcentral's name for it is "partial 16S ribosomal RNA". It matches the Rfam family "Bacterial small subunit ribosomal RNA", at positions 523 to 796 of the family's 1533-position model. The record is from RNAcentral.
AUACGGAGGGGGCAAGCGUUGUUCGGAAUUACUGGGCGUAAAGAGCACGUAGGCUGUUUAUCUAGUUAGGCGUGAAAGCCCUGGGCUCAACCCAGGAAUUGCGUUUAAUACUGGUAGGCUAGAGAUCGGGAGAGGGUAGCGGAAUUCCAAGUGUAGAGGUGAAAUUCGUAGAUAUUUGGAAGAACACCGGUGGCGAAGGCGGCUACCUGGACCAACACUGACACUGAGGUACGAAAGCGUGGGGAGCAAACAGGAUUAGAAACCCCGGUAGUCC